Molecule: non-coding RNA, 30 nt
Filed under: Mus musculus (house mouse)
Lineage: Eukaryota; Metazoa; Chordata; Mammalia; Rodentia; Muridae
Source: RNAcentral
UCAGACCACUUCUCUCUCAGAUUCUGUUGU